Molecule: ribosomal RNA, 459 nt
Filed under: uncultured bacterium
Lineage: Bacteria
Description: partial 16S ribosomal RNA
Rfam family: Bacterial small subunit ribosomal RNA
Source: RNAcentral
CCUACGGGUGGCAGCAGUGAGGAAUAUUGGUCAAUGGUCGGGAGACUGAACCAGCCAAGCCGCGUGAGGGAGGAAGGUACAGAGUAUCGUAAACCUCUUUUGUCAGGGAACAAAGGCGGGGACGUGUCCCCGGAUGAGUGUACCUGAAGAAAAAGCAUCGGCUAACUCCGUGCCAGCAGCCGCGGUAAUACGGAGGAUGCGAGCGUUAUCCGGAUUUAUUGGGUUUAAAGGGUGCGCAGGCGGUCUGUUAAGUCAGCGGUCAAAGCCCGGGGCUCAACCCCGGCCCGCCGUUGAAACUGGCAGUCUCGAGUUGGAGAGAAGUAUGCGGAAUGCGUGGUGUAGCGGUGAAAUGCUUAGAUAUCACGAAGAACCCCGAUUGCGAAGGCAGCUUACUAAACUGUGACUGACAUUGAUGCUCGAAAGUGUGGGUAUCAAACAGGAUUAGAUACCCGUGUAGUC